GACGAACGCUGGCGGCGUGCUUAACACAUGCAAGUCGAACGGAAAGGCCCUGCUUUUGUGGGGUGCUCGGGUGGCGAACGAGUGAGUAACACGUGAGUAACCUGCCCUUGACUUUGGGAUAACUUCAGGAAACUGGGGCUAAUACCGGAUAGGAGCUCCUGCUGCAUGGUGGGGGUUGGAAAGUUUCGGCGGUUGGGGAUGGACUCGCGGCUUAUCAGCUUGUUGGUGGGGUAGUGGCUUACCAAGGCUUUGACGGGUAGCCGGCCUGAGAGGGUGACCGGCCACAUUGGGACUGAGAUACGGCCCAGACUCCUACGGGAGGCAGCAGUGGGGAAUAUUGCACAAUGGGCGGAAGCCUGAUGCAGCAACGCCGCGUGCGGGAUGACGGCCUUCGGGUUGUAAACCGCUUUCGCCUGUGACGAAGCGUGAGUGACGGUAAUGGGUAAAGAAGCACCGGCUAACUACGUG
This 468-nucleotide ribosomal RNA is filed under the name uncultured bacterium. Its description in RNAcentral is "partial 16S ribosomal RNA". It matches the Rfam family "Bacterial small subunit ribosomal RNA", at positions 28 to 507 of the family's 1533-position model. The record is from RNAcentral.